Molecule: ribosomal RNA, 496 nt
Filed under: uncultured bacterium
Lineage: Bacteria
Description: partial 16S ribosomal RNA
Rfam family: Bacterial small subunit ribosomal RNA
Source: RNAcentral
ACGAACGCUGGCGGCGUGCCUAAUACAUGCAAGUAGAACGCUGAAGAGAGGAGCUUGCUCUUCUUGGAUGAGUUGCGAACGGGUGAGUAACGCGUAGGUAACCUGCCUUGUAGCGGGGGAUAACUAUUGGAAACGAUAGCUAAUACCGCAUAACAAUGGAUGACACAUGUCAUUUAUUUGAAAGGGGCAAUUGCUCCACUACAAGAUGGACCUGCGUUGUAUUAGCUAGUAGGUGAGGUAAUGGCUCACCUAGGCGACGAUACAUAGCCGACCUGAGAGGGUGAUCGGCCACACUGGGACUGAGACACGGCCCAGACUCCUACGGGAGGCAGCAGUAGGGAAUCUUCGGCAAUGGGGGCAACCCUGACUGAGCAACGCCGCGUGAGUGAAGAAGGGUUUCGGAUCGUAAAGCUCUGUUGUAAGUCAAGAACGGGUGUGAGAGUGGAAAGUUCACACUGUGACGGUAGCUUACCAGAAAGGGACGGCUAACUACGUG